AGAAGAAGAAGAAGAAGAAGAAGAAGAAUUCAAAAUGGAUGAAGUUCAAGGCUGUUCAUAACAUGAUCCUUGCUGGCUUCUCCAGUCCCACCUUUGCCUCCUCUUCUUGGCAUCUUGUGUGUUGGCCAGUUGACGCAUGCUGCUCUGAAUGAGCACAUGACCCAGGAUUGGCCAAUCAGGUGACACCAUGCCUCUAGCCACAAGGCUAGAUUCAGGAAUGGAUAUGUAACUGAAGCCCUACCAAUCAGAGACUUUCCUGGGACUUUCAUGCCAGAGCUAUCAGGAAAGACUUGCUUGCCCCUCUGGAGUUGCUGAGGAUGUGAGUAUGGCAUCUUGCUACAUAGAGAGCCUAUUCAAGAACAAAGCCAAAUGGAGUCACGAUGAGAAAGCCAGCCCUGAUGACAUAGUUUGAGCUUUUAGAACCAUCCAUGUCUGAGAGCAGUCCCAUCUCUUCCACUGUGUGAUGUGGUGGCUUACCUGAGUUAGGUCUCUGUCACUUAUU
Long non-coding RNA from Lynx canadensis (Canada lynx), 502 nucleotides. RefSeq lists it as uncharacterized. The record is from RefSeq and is a predicted model, not a curated record. The transcript is spliced from 3 exons. Lineage: Eukaryota; Metazoa; Chordata; Mammalia; Carnivora; Felidae.